Molecule: unclassified non-coding RNA, 391 nt
Filed under: soil metagenome
Description: partial contains 5.8S ribosomal RNA, internal transcribed spacer 2, and large subunit ribosomal RNA
Rfam family: 5.8S ribosomal RNA (bases 1-122)
Source: RNAcentral
GAUGAAGAACGUAGCGAAAUGCGAUACUUGGUGUGAAUUGCAGAAUCCCGUGAACCAUCGAGUCUUUGAACGCAAGUUGCGCCCGAAGCCAUUAGGCCGAGGGCACGCCUGCCUGGGCGUCACACGUCGUUGCCCCCCCGUCUACUCCUUCGGGAUUGCGGGGGGCGGAUGAUGGCCUCCCGUGCGCCUCGCCGCGCGGUUGGCAUAAAUGCCAAGUCCUCGGCGACGCACGCCACGACAAUCGGUGGUUGCGAAACCUCGGUUGCCCGUCGUGUGCGGUCGUCGCGCAUCGAGGGCUCGAAAAAAUUGCCGGGUUCCGGCUCGGCUUUCAACGCGACCCCAGGUCAGGCGGGGUUACCCGCUGAAUUUAAGCAUAUCAAUAAGCGGAGGA